This 1245-nucleotide long non-coding RNA is filed under the name Cyanistes caeruleus (blue tit). RNAcentral's name for it is "lncRNA (ENSCCEG00000009021.1)". Lineage: Eukaryota; Metazoa; Chordata; Aves; Passeriformes; Paridae. The record is from RNAcentral.
GGAAUGGGCGUGAAACUGCAUUAGCAGCCACCACACUCACCUUUCCCUCCUUUCUGGGCUGACAUGGCACAGCUGCGGCUGGGAGGUCACAGACCUGCACAAAGGCGAGGGGAGAGCGACUCCUUCCCAUUCCCCUGGCACCAAGCGAGCCUUUCGUGAGGGGAAAUCGAGAUGAGUGGUUCCUGAGGCGAGAGAUGUGGUGUUCCUGAGGCGAGGGGUUCCUAAGGAGAGCGAUGAGGGUUCCUGAGAGUAAGAAGAAAGCUUGGGUAGGGAGAAAACAAAUGGAUGCAGAAAGAAGAGAAUGGGAAAGGAAUGUGAGAGGGGAAAAGGAGCCCUCCAGAUGAAGAAAACAGGAAUAUAUGCUACAGACUGAGAAGAAGGGGUAAAGAGGUGGGGAUUCAUGGCUGAGCAGAAUCAACCACCCUAUCAGUGGGCAGAAGAAGUGGCAGAGGUUUCUCAGUUUUGAUGUAUCUGAGUUUAUAAGAAUUUGGAGUUCCUUGAGCUCUGUAAGAUUUCUGUAUUAAUACUCAUAACUCAUUAAUAAUAAGGAAGGUUUUCAAAUGUUUUUGGGUUUUGUCUGUUAAGUCUUUAUUUCCUGUGACUGCUAACAGAGAUACAGAAUUAUGGGCACUUAGUAUUAUAACUAAAACUUCCUGGAGCCAAACAUAAAUUUCAGGUAGAUGUCCUGAUUGUCUCAGUUGCACAGUAUAUCAGUGAAAAGAAAAAAGCUUUACAGGGCACCUAUAAGCAAGUUACUGCCUGUUUCUGGUGGUUAGUGCUCAGUCCCUUCAGCACUGUUACAAGCAUGUUAAUGGCCCUUAGCACAGAUGAGAUGCAUGCUCAGAAAUAGCAGUUUCAGUAUGCACUGUUGCCAUGGAUUAUUGAGUUGUAUCGAGUGAGUUACUAGUUACAGAUGACUUAAGACAUAAUGCACUGUGAGCAUCAUCAGUGAUGUUAGAUCAUGAUCACAAACGUGGGAGGGAUCUUUGCUACACUUGACAACAGCGUUUUAUAAUGUGUUUGGUGUGAUAUGAAUAUAAAGGUCUACACAAAAUGGCAAUUAAGUUACCUACUUAGAGAUAAUUUCAGGGAGAAGAGAGUAUGAGAUAAAAGUCCAUAUUUAUUUCAGGGAUAUAUGGUAAUCCAGCUUUACAUAACAUAGCAUUUGAGAAAUAGUAACCGUUUGGUGUCUGCAAUUAUGAUAUUUCUUUAAAAGUGAUGAAUUUAGAGCACUGUUGUGUGGCA